UGGAGCAUGUGUUUAAUUCGAAGCAACGCGAAGAACCUUUACCAGGUCUUGACAUCCCGAUGCUAUUUCUAGAGAUAGAAAGUUACUUCGGUACAUCGGUGACAGGUGCUGCAUGGUUGUCGUCAGCUCGUGUCGUGAGAUGUUGGGUUAAGUCCCGCAACGAGCGCAACCCCUAUUGUUAGUUGCCAUCAUUCAGUUGGGCACUCUAGCGAGACUGCCGGUAAUAAACCGGAGGAAGUGGGGAUGACGUCAAAUCAUCAUGCCCCUUAUGACCUGGGCUACACACGUGCUACAAUGGUUGGUACAACGAGUUGCGAGUCGGUGACGGCGAGCUAAUCUCUUAAAGCCAAUCUCAGUUCGGAUUGUAGGCUGCAACUCGCCUACAUGAAGUCGGAAUCGCUAGUAAUCGCGGAUCAGCACGCCGCGGUGAAUACGUUCCCGGGCCUU
RNAcentral lists this ribosomal RNA (447 nucleotides) under uncultured Streptococcus sp. RNAcentral describes it as "bacterial SSU rRNA". It matches the Rfam family "Bacterial small subunit ribosomal RNA", at positions 933 to 1382 of the family's 1533-position model. Lineage: Bacteria; Bacillati; Bacillota; Bacilli; Lactobacillales; Streptococcaceae. The record is from RNAcentral.